RNAcentral lists this ribosomal RNA (1063 nucleotides) under Myroides odoratimimus. RNAcentral's name for it is "bacterial SSU rRNA". It matches the Rfam family "Bacterial small subunit ribosomal RNA", at positions 461 to 1533 of the family's 1533-position model. The record is from RNAcentral. Lineage: Bacteria; Pseudomonadati; Bacteroidota; Flavobacteriia; Flavobacteriales; Flavobacteriaceae.
GUAGGGACUUGACGGUACUGUAAGAAUAAGGAUCGGCUAACUCCGUGCCAGCAGCCGCGGUAAUACGGAGGAUCCGAGCGUUAUCCGGAAUUAUUGGGUUUAAAGGGUUCGUAGGCGGCUUUGUAAGUCAGUGGUGAAAUUUCCUAGCUUAACUAGGACACUGCCAUUGAUACUGCAGAGCUUGAAUAAUAUGGAAGUAACUAGAAUAUGUAGUGUAGCGGUGAAAUGCUUAGAUAUUACAUGGAAUACCAAUUGCGAAGGCAGGUUACUACGUAUUUAUUGACGCUGAUGAACGAAAGCGUGGGGAGCGAACAGGAUUAGAUACCCUGGUAGUCCACGCCGUAAACGAUGGAUACUAGCUGUUCGGUUUUCGGACUGAGUGGCUAAGCGAAAGUGAUAAGUAUCCCACCUGGGGAGUACGUUCGCAAGAAUGAAACUCAAAGGAAUUGACGGGGGCCCGCACAAGCGGUGGAGCAUGUGGUUUAAUUCGAUGAUACGCGAGGAACCUUACCAGGGCUUAAAUGUAGAUUGACAGAUUUGGAAACAGAUUUUUCUUCGGACAAUUUACAAGGUGCUGCAUGGUUGUCGUCAGCUCGUGCCGUGAGGUGUCAGGUUAAGUCCUAUAACGAGCGCAACCCCUAUUGUUAGUUACCAGCGCGUUAAGGCGGGGACUCUAGCAAGACUGCCGGUGCAAACCGUGAGGAAGGUGGGGAUGACGUCAAAUCAUCACGGCCCUUACGUCCUGGGCUACACACGUGCUACAAUGGCAAGUACAGAAAGCAGCUACCUGGCAACAGGAUGCGAAUCUCCAAAGCUUGUCUCAGUUCGGAUUGGAGUCUGCAACUCGACUCUAUGAAGCUGGAAUCGCUAGUAAUCGGAUAUCAGCCAUGAUCCGGUGAAUACGUUCCCGGGCCUUGUACACACCGCCCGUCAAGCCAUGGAAGCUGGGGGUACCUGAAGUCGGUGACCGCAAGGAGCUGCCUAGGGUAAAACUAGUAACUAGGGCUAAGUCGUAACAAGGUAGCCGUACCGGAAGGUGCGGCUGGAACACCUCCUUUCUAGA